GGAAAUCUUGAUGUCCCGAAUGGAAAGUGGCUGUAGUGCUUCUUUGGUUCAUGAUGAGUAAUGUAGUGUGGGUCCAUUUUAAGAUACCAAGGAUCUCUUUAAGGCGUUCUGGUCCUGUUUCAUCUUUCAAGUAUUCACCUUGGAUUGAGCAUCAAUACUGCGCUUUUUCAACCGAUUGCCUGAAUUCUAUUGCCCUUUCGGCUGCUUCUAACCCAUUAUCAUUACCAGUUUCACUUGC
This 238-nucleotide long non-coding RNA is filed under the name Durio zibethinus. RNAcentral describes it as "long non-coding RNA (DZIB_LNC001650)". Lineage: Eukaryota; Viridiplantae; Streptophyta; Magnoliopsida; Malvales; Malvaceae. The record is from RNAcentral.